RNAcentral lists this ribosomal RNA (441 nucleotides) under uncultured bacterium. RNAcentral describes it as "partial 16S ribosomal RNA". It matches the Rfam family "Bacterial small subunit ribosomal RNA", at positions 338 to 795 of the family's 1533-position model. The record is from RNAcentral.
CCUACGGGGUGCAGCAGUGGGGAAUAUUGCACAAUGGGGGAAACCCUGAUGCAGCGACGCCGCGUGAGUGAAGAAGUAUUUCGGUAUGUAAAGCUCUAUCAGCAGGGCAGAAGAAAGACGUUAACUGACUAAGAAGCCCCGGCUAACUACGUGCCAGCAGCCGCGGUAAUACGUAGGGGGCAAGCGUUAUCCGGAUUUACUGGGUGUAAAGGGAGCGUAGACGGCUGUGCAAGUCUGAAGUGAAAGCCCAGGGCUCAACCCUGGGACUGCUUUGGAAACUGUGGAGCUAGAGUGCUGGAGAGGUAAGUGGAAUUCCUAGUGUAGCGGUGAAAUGCGUAGAUAUUAGGAGGAACACCAGUGGCGAAGGCGGCUUACUGGCACAUAACUGACGCUGAGGAGCGAAAGCGUGGGUAGCAAACAGGAUUAGAUACCCUAGUAGUC